UUAACUCCAGAAAUUCCCAUCUUCUGACACAAUCUUACACAUGUUAACGUGACACUCCAGUUUAAAUUUCGUGGCAAUCGGAGUUGUAGAACUCCGGUUAUAGCGAUUUUCGUCGGAAAAUCACAAAAAUUGAAAUGGUCAUAACUUGGUCGUUUUAACUCGGAAUUAGCUCAUUUUUGGACACGAGCUACAUAAUACCAUAUAUUUUCAUUUUCCAAAAGCCCGGAAUUUUUCUCAGAAGAAAAGUUGACAAAACAGCCCUUGCAAAAUAUUAGCAGCUUACUUUUUGUACUUUGGCAGUUUUGGAGUCCUUUACCAAAACUUAAAUAAAAUGAAAUCUAUAACUCCGAUUAAUGAUCUGUAAAUUUUGUUGGAUUCCUAUCUUUCCGAAAUACAUUUUUCAUCUAUCACAAUCCAUAUUUGGACAUGUUAAGCUCCCGGAAAUUAGCCCGGAAGUGGCUGCUAAAAACUGUUGCUCUAACAGUUUUUCUUACAUUUGAGUAGUUUGGGAGAAAUUUCAUAACUCUCUCCUCUGAUGUCGGAUUUAGUCCGUUUCGGAGUCUAUGGAAAGCUUAUUGAGUGUACUAUAACAUACCAAAAGCACAGAAUUUUUAGAGCAAGCUAGCUAACACCGAAAAUUUCUUUUUAGGUCAGCAGUUUACUAGUUUUCAUACUUUAGAAAAUUAGUUUUCUUUCCCUUCCUUACUUAAGCUUUUCACUACCAAAAAUGGUUAGAUCUACUUAUAAAACACUCUAAAUCAUGUAGAUCUAGAGUUUUGAAGAUCAAGAACAUAACUCCAUGUUUUGAUUUAAAACAACAAGAAUAAC
Molecule: long non-coding RNA, 828 nt
Filed under: Panax ginseng (ginseng)
Lineage: Eukaryota; Viridiplantae; Streptophyta; Magnoliopsida; Apiales; Araliaceae
Description: long non-coding RNA (PGIN_LNC000379)
Source: RNAcentral